RNAcentral lists this ribosomal RNA (253 nucleotides) under uncultured bacterium. RNAcentral describes it as "partial 16S ribosomal RNA". It matches the Rfam family "Bacterial small subunit ribosomal RNA", at positions 524 to 776 of the family's 1533-position model. The record is from RNAcentral.
UACGAAGGGGGCUAGCGUUGCUCGGAAUCACUGGGCGUAAAGCGCACGUAGGCGGCUUGUUAAGUCGGGGGUGAAAUCCUGGAGCUCAACUCCAGAACUGCCUUUGAUACUGGGGAUCUCGAGUCCGGAAGAGGUGAGUGGAACUCCGAGUGUAGAGGUGAAAUUCGUAGAUAUUCGGAAGAACACCAGUGGCGAAGGCGGCUCACUGGUCCGGUACUGACGCUGAGGUGCGAAAGCGUGGGGAGCAAACAGG